AUUUUGAUGCCUUUACCAGCAUUAAACAAAAGGACUCCACAUUAACUUGGACAGUAAAAUGGCUCCAUUCUGUAGCUGAUGAGCUUACUAUUUAUGGAUGUCUAAAUAUAUUUUUGUUUCCUUGUAGGAAGAGGAGUCUGUCUAAAUAUCUUAUUUUGUAACCUACAGAAAUUCACAGAAGGAUGUCUUCUAGUAAUAUCUCCUUUGAAUUAUUUCCUUAACUAUGAAGAUGCAAGUAAACAAGCAAUUUUUUUACAGUGGACAGGUCAUAACUUUUAAAUGGCCAACCUGUCUGUCCUUUCAAGAAAAAGCCAGGACUGCUGUGCAUACAUGGAGGACUUUUUUCCUCUCUCCCCUUGCUUUUGCUGCCAACUGCUGCAUCUCAUAUCUGGGAAAGAACAGGUGCAGAGCCAUCUUGGGAUUGCAGUGCAUUGCCAGCAGCUUGCAGGGGUCCUGCGAGGAAUUACAUGUUGCUGCUGAUGGAGGUUUCUUCCUCCUGUUUGCUGGGACAAUCAUGCUGGUGUUUAUGGCCCUCUCAAAAGUAUUCUUUGCCACAGCAAUAUGGGAAGAAAGAUCAUUCAAGCUCUUCUCUGUCCCAAGUGAGGAGAUGAACAACAAAUGGAUUCUAAAGGCAUGAAGUGUUCAGCACUGCUGUGAGUACUGAUCCAGCUGAUAGCUUCUGCUUCUGUGUACAUUAAGAACUGAAAUAUGAU
This 713-nucleotide long non-coding RNA is filed under the name Parus major (Great Tit). Its description in RNAcentral is "lncRNA (ENSPMJG00000019305.1)". Lineage: Eukaryota; Metazoa; Chordata; Aves; Passeriformes; Paridae. The record is from RNAcentral.